AAAAGACCAAGAAUAGCCAAAGCUAUCCUAAGCAAAAAGAAUGAAACUGGAGGAACCACAUUAGCUGACCUCAAACUAUACUACAGAGCUAUAGUAAUCAAAACAGCUUGGUAUUGGCAUAAAAACAGACACAUAGACCAAUGGAACAGAAUAGAGAACAUAGAAAUAAAUCCAUACAUCUAUAAUGAACUCAUUUUCUACAAAAGUGUCAAACACAUACACCGGGGAAAGGACAGUCUCGUUAAUAAAUGGAGCUGGGACAACUGGAUAUCCAUAUGCAGAAGAAUAAAGCUAGAACCCUACCUCUUGCCAUAAAAAAAAUGGAUUAAAGACUUAGAUCUCACUUUGGGAGGCUGAGGCAGGUGGAUCACCUGAGGUCAAGAGUUUGAGACCAGCCUGGCCAACAUGGUGAAACCCGUCUCUACCAAAAAUACAAAAAUUAGCUGUGCAUGGUGGGGCACCCCAUAAUCCCAGCUAUUUGGGAAGCUAAGGCAGAAGAAUUGCUUGAAUCUGGGAGGCAGAAGUUGCAGUGAGCUGAGAUCAUACCAUCACACUCCAGCCUGGGCAACAGAGUGAGAUUCCGUCUCAAAAAAAAAAAAAAAAAAAAAAAGACUUAAAUCUAAGAUCUCAAACUAUGAAACCACUAAAAGAAAACAUUGGAGGAACUCUCCAGGACAUUGGACUGGGCAGUUAUUUCUUGAGUAAUACCCCAUAAGCAUAGGCAACCAAAGUAAAAAUGGACAAAUGGAAUCACAUCAAAUUUAAAAAGCUUCAACAAAGUGAAGAGACAGCCCACAGAAUGGGAGAAAAUAUUUGCAAACUGCCCAUCUGACAAGGUAUAAAUAACCAGAAUAUAUAAGGAUCUCAAACAACUCGACAAGAAAAAUUCUAAUAAUCCAAUUUAAAAAUGGGCAAAAGAUCCAAAUAGACAUUUCUCAAAAGAAGAUAUAAAAUGGCAAACAUACAUAUGAAAAGGUGCGCAACAUCAUUGAUCAUCAGAGAAAUGCAAACCAAAACUGCAAGAAGAUACCAUCUCACCCCGGUUAAAAUGGCUUAUAUCCAAAAGAUAGGCAAUAAUAAACACCGGCGAGGAUGUGGAGAAAAGGAAAUCCUCAUACACUGUUGGUGGGAAUAUAAAUUAGCACAACCACUAUGCAUAACAGUUUCCUCAAAAAAGCUAAACUACCAUAUGAUCCAGAAAUCCCACUGCUAGGUAUAUGCCCAGAAGAAAGGAAAUUGUAUGGCAAAGGUAUAUUUGCACUCCCAUGUUUGUUGCAGCUCUGUUCACAAUAGCCAGGAUUUGGAAGCAACCUAAGUGUCCAUCAACAGAUGAAUGGAUACAGAAAAUAUGGUACAUAUACACAAUGAAGUACUACUGAGCCAUGAAAAAGAAUGAAUCAUUUGCAACAACAUGGAUGGAACUGGAGGAAAUUAUGUUACAUGAAAUAAGCCAGGCACAGAAAGACAAGCUUCACAUGUUCUCGUUUAUUUGUGGGAUCUAAAACUCAAAACAAUUGAGCCCGUGGAGAUAGAGUAGAAUGAUGGCUACCAGAGUCUGGAAAGGGUAGUUGGGGGUGGAGAAAAUGAGCGAUGGUUAAUGGGUACAAAAAUAUAGUUAGAUAGAAUUAAUAAAAUCUAAUAUUUGAUAGGACAAUGGAGUGACUACAAUUUAUUAUACAUUUAAAAAUAACUAAAAGAGUAUAACUGGAUUGUUUGAAACAUGAAGAAAGCAUCAGUGCUUGAGCUGACGGAUACUCCAUUUACCCUGACAUGAUUGUUACACAUUGUAUGUCUCUAUCAAAAUAUCUUAUGUACCCCAUUAAUAUAUACAUCUAAUAGGUACCCAUAAAAAUAAAAAAUAGGCUGGGCACAGUGGCUCGCGCCUGUAAUCCUAGCACUUUGGGAGGCCAAGGUGGGCAGAUGACCUGAGGUCAGGACUUCAAGACCAGCCUGGCCAACAUGGUGAAACGCCAUCUCCACUAAAAAUACAAGUUAGCCGGGCAUAGUGGCACAUGCCUGUAAUCCCAGCUACUCGGGAAGCUGAGGCAAGAGAAAUGCUUGAACCUGGGAGGCGGAGGUUGCAGUGAGCCGAGAUUGUGCACCACUAAACUCUGGCCUAGGCGACAGAAUGAGACUCUGUCUCAAAAAUAAAAAUAAAAAUAAAUUAAAAAUAAAAAUAAAUUUAAAAUUAAAAAUUAAGACCAGGCUGUACCCUGAGGUAGUUUAGAAGGCUAAACUCCUAUAACUUAGUCUUGGGAGGUCUCAAGGCUUAGCCAGCUCAAAUUUUCCAUUUCUCCAAUAGAAGUUCUCUUAUGAACUCUGAAGAAAUUGCAGCAUUUCUUUUGCUUUUAAAUCUAUCUACUUCUCCAUGAUUUUAGGAAUACCCACUGGAGUUUCUUCUAAUGUAGUGAUUAAUUCUGGUAAAUUCAAUAUAAUACAAUUUAAUUUAAUAAAAUCCAGGGAAGUGGGGUGGAUGGGGAAAGCGGAGAAGUUCAUCAAAGAGUACAAAGUUUCAGUUAGACAGGAAAAAUAAGCUUUAGUGAUUUAUUGCAUAGAAUAAUGACUGUAUUAAAUAAUAAUGCAUUGUAUAUUUUAUUUUGUUUUGUUAUUUAUUAUUUUUGAGACAGAGUCUCACAAUGUUGUCUAGGCUGGUGUCAAACACCUAGGCUCAAGCGAUCCUCUGGCCCCAUCCUCUUGAGUAGCUGAGGCAACAGAAUCACUUGAACCCAGCAGGUUGUGGUGAGCCAAGAUCAUGCCAUUGCACUCCAGCCUGGGCAACAGAGUGAGACGCCAUUUCAAAAAAAAAAAAAAAAAAAAGAAAGAAAAGGGUAGAUUUUAAAUGUUCUCACAACAACAAAAAAUGAUAAGUAUGUAAGAUUCUUAACCACAGUUGAUGUACCUCACAGGAAGAGCUUCUCUUUCAAGAUGUGUAGCUGCCCGAUGGGUUCUUCCUGCCCACUGCACAAAAAAAUCAGUUCAUGGAGACCAUGGCACUGCAGUAAAGAAAGAGGUUAAUUGACAUGAUGCCAGCCACACCAUGUGGGAGGCAGAGUUAUUACUCAAAUCAAACUCAUCUAAGGCUUGGAGGUUAGGGAUUUUUCAAAGGUAAUUUGGUAGGUAGCAGGCUAGGGUAUGGGGAGUGCUGAUUGGUUGGGUCAGAGAUGAAAUCAUAGGGUGUCGAAGCUGUCCUCUUUCUCUGAGUCGCUUCUGGGUGGGGACACAGAAGCCGUUGGCUGGUCCCGGUGGAGCCAUCGGUCAUCAGACAUGCAAAAUCCUGAGAAGAUAUCUCAGAAGGCCAAUCCUAGGUUCUACAAAAGUAACAUUAUCUGCAGGGGUAACUGAGGAAGUUGCAUAUCUUGUGGCUUCUGGAAUAACGCCUCACAAUUGUUUUUGUCUACACCUUAGCAGAAUUUAGGCUCCUCUCCUCCUCCUAGCCUGGUGGUCUCUCAGUAUUACAAGGGUGGUUGAGUUUCGGGGAAGGGUUAUUAUAAUUUAAACUAUCAACUAAAUGACUCCCACAUGUAGCUUGGCUUAAACCCAGGAAUAAGUAAAAGCAGCUUGAAAGCUAAAGGCAAGAGGGAGGUUGGCUAGAUCAGCUUUCUUUCACUGCCAUUAUUUUCUCACUGUGAUAAUUUUUGCAAAGGCGGUUUCAGAUGUGAUUGGAUUUUUGGAUACUGUGAACCCUGAAUAUCUGAGACUGGUCUCAGUCAAUUUAGAAAGUUUAUUUUGCCAAGGUUGAGGCUGCAUGCCUGUGGCACAGCCUCAGGAGGUCCUG
This 3775-nucleotide long non-coding RNA is filed under the name Homo sapiens (human). Its description in RNAcentral is "HSALNT0067586". Lineage: Eukaryota; Metazoa; Chordata; Mammalia; Primates; Hominidae. The record is from RNAcentral.